Humulus lupulus (European hop) is the source of this 107-nucleotide small nucleolar RNA. The record is from RefSeq and is a predicted model, not a curated record. Lineage: Eukaryota; Viridiplantae; Streptophyta; Magnoliopsida; Rosales; Cannabaceae.
UAUCCAUGAUGUAGGCAUUGAUUUAACAAAUCUUUAAACCUCUCCUAGACCUGAUAGAAAGUUUCAUGGUCUUUCUAGUUUAAAGUAUAGAUUUUUCUUUUAAGACU